Molecule: ribosomal RNA, 417 nt
Filed under: uncultured Glomeromycotina
Lineage: Eukaryota; Fungi; Glomeromycota
Description: SSU rRNA
Rfam family: Eukaryotic small subunit ribosomal RNA
Source: RNAcentral
GCACUGGCUUCGCUGAUUCCUCCUUUCUGAAGAACUGUAAUGCCAUUAAUUUGGUGUUGCAGGGAAACAGGACUGUUACUUUGAAAAAAUUAGAGUGUUUAAAGCAGGCUAACGCUUGAAUACAUUAGCAUGGAAUAAUGAAAUAGGACGUUUGAUCCUAUUUUGUUGGUUUCUAGGAUUGACGUAAUGAUUAAUAGGGAUAGUUGGGGGCAUUAGUAUUCAAUUGUCAGAGGUGAAAUUCUUGGAUUUAUUGAAGACUGACUACUGCGAAAGCAUUUGCCAAGGAUGUUUUCAUUAAUCAAGAACGAAAGUUAGGGGAUCGAAGACGAUCAGAUACCGUCGUAGUCUUAACCAUAAACUAUGCCGACUAGGGAUCGGAUGAUGUUAAUUCUUUAAUGACUCAUUCGGCGCCUUACG